Molecule: ribosomal RNA, 425 nt
Filed under: uncultured bacterium
Lineage: Bacteria
Description: partial 16S ribosomal RNA
Rfam family: Bacterial small subunit ribosomal RNA
Source: RNAcentral
GUUAGGAAUAUUGGACAAUGGGCGCAAGCCUGAUCCAGCCAUGCCGCGUGAGUGAUGAAGGCCUUCGGGUUGUAAAGCUCUUUAGCCGAUGAUUAUAAUGACUGUAGUCGGAAAAUAAGCCCCGGCUAACUUCGUGCCAGCAGCCGCGGUAAUACGAAGGGGGCGAGCGUUAUUCGGAAUCACUGGGCGUAAAGCGUGCGUAGGCGGCUUUGCAAGUUGGGAGUGAAAGCCCAGGGCUCAACCCUGGAAUUGCUCUCAAAACUGCAAGGCUCGAAUUCGGGAGAGGAUAGCGGAAUUGUCAGUGUAGCAGUGAAGUGCGUAGAUAUUGACAGGAACACCAGUGGCGUAAGCGGCUAUCUGGACCGAUAUUGACGCUGAGGCACGAAAGCGUGGGGAUCAAACAGGAUUAGAAACCCGUGUAGUCC